AUGUGCCUUACUCUAGCUGCUGUUGCUGGACCUGGGAGCACAGGUCAGGUGGGGAAGGGAAAUGGGGCAUCACCAGGGGGUCCCCCUAGCUGUGCCUUAGGAUCUGGAGAGGCCGCUGUGGCUGGGCGGAACCCAGUCUCAGACUUCCAGAGCCUUCAGAGCUUGGGGGCCCCAAAGAUGUCACUGGAGCUUCGUUUGUGGGGGAUGUUGCGGUUUCCAGAACACUCUCUCCCACCUCCUGGAUUCAGUCGGAUAAGCGUUUUAAAGUCAUACUCACAGGUGCUGGGGGUUGCCACAAAACACCCAAUAUUUGAAAUGUGUUCUAUGGACCUAAGAGGACAAAGAGACACCUUAAAAUGUUUGCUGGAUGACAGUAGGAGGGUGGGGCACUGAGACUCUGCUGCUCAUCUUCAUGGAGUCCUGCGGCCACCAGGCCCUCUGUCACCAGGCUGGAGUGCAGUGGCACAAUCUCAGCUCACUGCAACCUCUGCCUCCCCGGAAAUUCUGUCUCAGCCUCCUGAGUAGCUGGGAUUACAGGCGCCCGCCACCAUGCCCGGCUAAUUUUUGUAUUUUUAAUAGAGACAGGGUUUCACCAUGUUGGCCAGGAUGGUCUCAAACUUUUGACCUUGUGAUCUGCCCACCUCGGACUCCCAAAGUGCUGGGAUUACAGGCGUGAGCCACCACGCUUGGCCCAGACGUCAAGAUUUUUAACAAAUGGGCCCCAAUCCCAAGCAAGUACUUGGAAGUGGCCACACGGCUGUGUGGACCCCAGUGCAGGGAACCUUCUGGAGGCAGCUGGACACAGGGGCUGCCGAUGGGGAGAUGAACGCCGCUCAUUCUGACAUUUCAUCUGAAUAACACUCCAAGUGUUCUAAUGAAAGCCUCUGUGCUCCCUUUGAAAUACUAGCAAUUACAGAGAUGAAUAAUUGCAUGAUAAAUAUUAAUUUGUACCAUCGUAAUGAGGCCCAUAAGCGUCCUGCUGCUAAGUGAGAAUUUAGCUCUUUCCACUCACUCCCGGGAAGCGGGGUGCUGCUCACAGCCCCUGGGGGAUGCCGCCCUGCUCUGAGAGGCCCAGGGCCAUGGUGGCCAGCUCGCUGGGCCAGACAAUGGCAGGCCCAAGCACCACCCUGCUCCUGCCACUGCCUCGCUUGAUGACAAAGGGCACAUUGCUGCCUUCCCCUGGGCCUCAGUUUCCCAAGCAGACACUGGCGAAAUUGUGUGAGAUGACAUCUAAGGGCUCUGCCAGCUCAGGCAGUCCAGGAGGUGACGUCUAGAAUCCCCAACUGCCUCCGAUCCACUGGUGGGAAAUCCACCCCGUCCAGAGCCUUCCCUCCAGGCGCGCUGUCUCUGGGUGCUCCCAGUGUGCCUGGCAUCUGGGCGAUGAGCGGGUAUUUGCUGAGUGAAUAGUGAUAUCCCUUUGCCCAGACACAGCAUCUCACAGCUUUUCUUUCUUGGUCUUCGUGAAAUCAAAACUGACAAGUUGCCCUCCUUCCAGCUGAGUAAGUGUGGCCAUCACACCCCACCCUCAGGAAGGAGGAGAACGUAGCAGCUUGCAGUAGAGAUGGAACAUCACCAAACCACAGUGACAGCACAAAGGGCCGCCCGUCUGGCUGUGGUCUCCCAAGGAAAAGACACCUGGAGCCCUCGCAGAGGCUGCUGGCUCCCCUGACAGCCCUGCCUUUUGGUGCUGAGUGUCUGCAGAUGUUUGGCAACUUUUGCAAAUAUGAUGAUGGCAGAGGAGAGCUUCGCCUUUUCCAUCUUAAACAGUGAGCCUAGGACACUUGAUGAUCUGGGGACGUUUUCUUCCUUUGAACACUCGCUGUUUUUUUUUUUUUUUUUNNNNNNNNNNNNNNNNNNNNNNNNNUUGCUCUGUCGUCCAGGCUGGAGUACAGUGGCACAAUCUUGGCUCACUGCAACCUCUGCCUCCUGGGUUCAAGCGACUCUUCUGCCUCAGCCUUCCGAGUAGCUGGGACUACAAGCGUGCGCCACCAUACCCAACUAAUUUUUUUAUUUUUAGUAGAAACAGGGUUUCACCAUGUUGGCCAGGAUAACCUCGAUCUCUUGACCUUGUGAUCCGCCUGCCUUGGCCUCCCAAAGUGCUGGGGUCACAGGCAUGAGCCACCGCACCCUGUCUGCUGUGUGUUUUAUUGGGCGAGCCAUCCUUCCUGUGUCUGGGCUCCCUUGAGUCUGCAAACCUUCUUUGGAAGUAAAUGGUUUCUCUGAGUAUUGUCCACUAUUGGAUCUGAUCCUCUGGUGAGGAUCAGGUUCCUGGUGUCUGCCACCAAGCAGGGAGACCGAGGGGCCACCAAAGUUGCCACCCCUAGAAAUACAGUUGCCCAGCUCCAGUCAGAGGCACAUGUCAGAAACCACACACAUACAGACACACACACACAGACACACACACAUGCUACAUGCUACAUGGAUGUGGGGCUGAGGCUCCAGCCUGUGGGACUGUGUGUGUGGCCUCAGAAGUGGAUCUUGUGGGCUCUCUGUGCCCCCAAGUUCCUCUUCCCCAGGGUGGCCCCAUGCAGCAAGAGAAGGGUUGUGUAUGUGUGUAUGUGUGUGUGUGGUAUCUCUGUGGUUUGUGGUGUGUGUAUGAUGUGUGUGUAUGUGAUGUGUGGGAUGAGUGUGUAUCUGUGGUAUGUAUGGUAUAUGGUAUGUGUGUGGCAUGUGUGUGAUGUGCAUGGUGUGUGAUGUGUGUGGUGUGUGUGGUGUGUAUGGUGUACGAUGUGUGUGGUACAUGGUAUGUGUGUGUGACAUGUGAUGUGUGGCACAUGGUGUGUGGUGUGUGGCAUGUGUGUGGUGUAUGUAUAGUAUGUGUGUGCUAUAUGGUGUGUGUGGUAUAUGUGUGUGGUCUACGUGUGUGAUGUGUGCGUAUGGUGUGUGUGGUGUGUGUGUGUGAUGCGUGUGUAUUGUGUGUGCGUGUGAUGUGUGCAUAUGGUGUGUGUGGUGUGUGCGUGUGAUGCAUGCGUAUGGUGUGUGUGGUGUGUGCGUGUGAUGCGUGCGUAUGGUGUGUGUGGUGUGUGCGUGUGAUGCGUGCAUAUGGUGUGUGUGGUGUGUGCGUGUGAUGCGUGCAUAUGGUGUGUGUGGUGUGUGCGUGUGAUGCAUGCGUAUGGUGUGUGUGGUGUGUGCGUGUGAUGCGUGCGUAUGGGUGUGUGUGGUGUGUGCGUGUGAUGCGUGUGUAUGGUGUGUGUGGUGUGUGCGUGUGAUGUGUGUGUAUGGUGUGUGUGGUGUAUGAGUGUGAUAUGUGCUAUGUGCCAUGUGAUGUGUGUGGUGUGUAUGUGUGGUGUAUGUGUGUGACAUGUGGCAUGUACCACAUGUACACGCAUGUGUGUGUGUGUGUGUGGUUUCUGACAUGUGCCUCUGACUGGAGCCUGGCUGCUGUAUCUCUGGGGGAAGUGGCUUCAGUGGCCCGGCGGGCUCUCUGCUGGGUGGCAGACACGGGGAAUCUGGGCCUCUCCUUUCGCUUCUUGCCUAUGUGGGUCUGUUUGCCUUGUGGAUCCUGCUACCUUCAGCAUUAGCAGCACGUGUCACUUGAUCGCGGGUUCCAAGAUUCUGUUUUGGUUGGCUCGAGGGCCCCUCCUGACCUUGGGCUUGGGAGGGCCCUGGGUCUCAUCCUCACAACGUGAGAGCAUUGUGUGUCUCUUCCAUCGUGGGCAGGGUCCUCUAUGUUGAUCUCGUUUGCAAUCCUAUGAGUGAAAAUCACUCCCGAAAUGCAUCUUGUGUGGCCAGAACAGAGGGCGGCCCCUUGAGGUCCCCCGGCUCUCGGAGCUCCGUGUUUCUGGAGCUGCUGCAGCCGCCCAGUGGGUUUCUGUGUCCUGUGCCAACUUGUGACUCAUGGUUAAAGUUGUGAAACUGAGUCUGUGAGUUCUUUUCAUGUGUUAAUGACAAAAAACCAUUUUUUUCCUCCUUGAAAAAGGAGGGUCCUUAGCCUUCAAUGCUGGCCUGUUUGUAAUGGAAACCUUUCUGCCUCUGUGGCCUGCUCGUGAGCUCCCUCGAUGGCAGAUAUUGGAGAUCCGCUGGUAAUAAGAAUUGAACAUUUGUAUGCACCUUAGAGAUUUCUGUAACAAUGAGGAUGUGGGAAGUAAAAAUGUUUAAAGUUUCCUUUCUUGUUAAAGAAUAAAUCACAAGUGUGCUAAUAACUUUGUUAAGCCCUAUCCUCUGUAGCUGUUAGACACGCCAUGCUUACAGGCAUGUGGUACAUUCUAUGUCCUUGUACUUUAACCGAUAUAUCUGUGCUGGAUGUGCUCACAGGCAUGUCCCAGCUCUCCACUGCUUUUACCUGCUUAGAAAAGUUGUAAGUUGUUAGCCAAUCGGGUUUUAGUUUAGAUUGUGAGGUUUGGCACCAGCCAACGGAGAUCAGACCCAGCAGGAAGGACGACCCCAAAUGCGUAAGGAAUAAAUAUGUCUGCUUUUCCUUUAUUCAUUGUACUCUCAUGGCAAGAUGGCUAGUCAGAGUACCCUUCCUGCAGUCCAGGAAGUAAAAAUUGCGUUGCUGAAAGAUCCUUUGUCUGAGUGCUGAUUUUUCUUUGCAGCACGAAGCAUCUGUUUCCAACAAGGAGUUGUGUGUCAUGGGCUGAACUGUGUCCCCACGCCCCACCAAUUCUGUGCUGAAGUAAUCAACCUCAGGCCCUCAGCGUGUGACUGCAUUUGGAGGCAGGGCCUUUAAAGAGGCGACUGAAGUUAAAUGAGGUCAUUGGGGCAGGCCCUUAUCCAAUAGGACCGGUGUCCCUGUGAGAAGAGAAGAUCAUAAGGACAUCGGCCCUAUUGGAUUAGGAUACAGACACGUUAGUGUGGGACAGCCACGUGAGGACAUAGGGAGAAGGUGGUUUGUGCAAGCCACGGAGCGAGGCUGCCGGGGAAGCAAGCAUGCUGACACCUGGAUCCUGGUGUAAGGAAAUACAUCUCUGUAGCUUAAGUCCCGGCCUGUGGUACUUUGUUAUGGCAGCCUGAGCAAACUCAGAGAUCAUUAUUCAUUUAUUGUUUAUUUAGUUUUUUGAGACAGAGUCUCACUCUGUUGCCCAGGCUGGAAUGCAAUGGUGCGAUCUUGGCUAUCACUGCAACCUCUGCCUCCUGGGUUCAACCAGUUCUCCUGCCUC
Aotus nancymaae (Ma's night monkey) is the source of this 5099-nucleotide long non-coding RNA. Lineage: Eukaryota; Metazoa; Chordata; Mammalia; Primates; Aotidae. The record is from Ensembl.